Molecule: ribosomal RNA, 1411 nt
Filed under: Klebsiella pneumoniae
Lineage: Bacteria; Pseudomonadati; Pseudomonadota; Gammaproteobacteria; Enterobacterales; Enterobacteriaceae
Description: 16S ribosomal RNA
Rfam family: Bacterial small subunit ribosomal RNA
Source: RNAcentral
CAUGCAAGUCGAGCGGUAGCACAGAGAGCUUGCUCUCGGGUGACGAGCGGCGGACGGGUGAGUAAUGUCUGGGAAACUGCCUGAUGGAGGGGGAUAACUACUGGAAACGGUAGCUAAUACCGCAUAAUGUCGCAAGACCAAAGUGGGGGACCUUCGGGCCUCAUGCCAUCAGAUGUGCCCAGAUGGGAUUAGCUAGUAGGUGGGGUAACGGCUCACCUAGGCGACGAUCCCUAGCUGGUCUGAGAGGAUGACCAGCCACACUGGAACUGAGACACGGUCCAGACUCCUACGGGAGGCAGCAGUGGGGAAUAUUGCACAAUGGGCGCAAGCCUGAUGCAGCCAUGCCGCGUGUGUGAAGAAGGCCUUCGGGUUGUAAAGCACUUUCAGCGGGGAGGAAGGCGGUGAGGUUAAUAACCUUGUCGAUUGACGUUACCCGCAGAAGAAGCACCGGCUAACUCCGUGCCAGCAGCCGCGGUAAUACGGAGGGUGCAAGCGUUAAUCGGAAUUACUGGGCGUAAAGCGCACGCAGGCGGUCUGUCAAGUCGGAUGUGAAAUCCCCGGGCUCAACCUGGGAACUGCAUUCGAAACUGGCAGGCUAGAGUCUUGUAGAGGGGGGUAGAAUUCCAGGUGUAGCGGUGAAAUGCGUAGAGAUCUGGAGGAAUACCGGUGGCGAAGGCGGCCCCCUGGACAAAGACUGACGCUCAGGUGCGAAAGCGUGGGGAGCAAACAGGAUUAGAUACCCUGGUAGUCCACGCCGUAAACGAUGUCGAUUUGGAGGUUGUGCCCUUGAGGCGUGGCUUCCGGAGCUAACGCGUUAAAUCGACCGCCUGGGGAGUACGGCCGCAAGGUUAAAACUCAAAUGAAUUGACGGGGGCCCGCACAAGCGGUGGAGCAUGUGGUUUAAUUCGAUGCAACGCGAAGAACCUUACCUGGUCUUGACAUCCACAGAACUUUCCAGAGAUGGAUUGGUGCCUUCGGGAACUGUGAGACAGGUGCUGCAUGGCUGUCGUCAGCUCGUGUUGUGAAAUGUUGGGUUAAGUCCCGCAACGAGCGCAACCCUUAUCCUUUGUUGCCAGCGGUUAGGCCGGGAACUCAAAGGAGACUGCCAGUGAUAAACUGGAGGAAGGUGGGGAUGACGUCAAGUCAUCAUGGCCCUUACGACCAGGGCUACACACGUGCUACAAUGGCAUAUACAAAGAGAAGCGACCUCGCGAGAGCAAGCGGACCUCAUAAAGUAUGUCGUAGUCCGGAUUGGAGUCUGCAACUCGACUCCAUGAAGUCGGAAUCGCUAGUAAUCGUAGAUCAGAAUGCUACGGUGAAUACGUUCCCGGGCCUUGUACACACCGCCCGUCACACCAUGGGAGUGGGUUGCAAAAGAAGUAGGUAGCUUAACCUUCGGGAGGGCGCUACC